This 417-nucleotide long non-coding RNA is filed under the name Mytilus galloprovincialis (Mediterranean mussel). Lineage: Eukaryota; Metazoa; Mollusca; Bivalvia; Mytilida; Mytilidae. The record is from RNAcentral.
GCCUGUUUAACCAAAUUUAGUGGGUGUUAUUGUCGAAGCGCAGAUUAAGCAUGUCAUGUUAUUUUUCGUAGGUUUUCUACAAUAUAAUUUUAAAAGUCACUGCUCUUUUAAACUAGCUUUCGGUAUAAUUAUAUACAAAUCAAUACAAAGCGUUGCCUCUGUUUCAUAGACUAUUUUCUCCGUAUGUUAUUGCUUGACUUUGCCAAGGAUAUCGUGCGCGGCAUCACUAGUUAAAUAGCUAAAGACUUCUACUUAAUAGUUGUAAAAAAGUAGCAGCUAGUCAAAAAGUAAUUCUUGUUUUUACAUUUUUUCCUAGAAAACUAUAUAUUUGUUUGUUUUUCUUUAUUUUAAAAUUUGAACCAGUUUAUUAUUUGAUGUAUUUGAUGCGGACCCUACAGCCAUUCAGGUGUAAAAUUC